RNAcentral lists this ribosomal RNA (836 nucleotides) under Cassava frogskin disease phytoplasma. RNAcentral's name for it is "bacterial SSU rRNA". It matches the Rfam family "Bacterial small subunit ribosomal RNA", at positions 460 to 1305 of the family's 1533-position model. The record is from RNAcentral. Lineage: Bacteria; Bacillati; Mycoplasmatota; Mollicutes; Acholeplasmatales; Acholeplasmataceae.
AAAACUCCCUUGACGGUACUUAAUGAAUAAGCCCCGGCUAAUUAUGUGCCAGCAGCCGCGGUAAUACAUAAGGGGCGAGCGUUAUCCGGAAUUAUUGGGCGUAAAGGGUGCGUAGGCGGUUUAAUAAGUCUAUAGUUUAAUUUCAGUGCUUAACGCUGUUGUGCUAUAGAAACUGUUUUACUAGAGUGAGUUAGAGGCAAGCGGAAUUCCAUGUGUAGCGGUAAAAUGCGUAAAUAUAUGGAGGAACACCAGAGGCGUAGGCGGCUUGCUGGGACUUUACUGACGCUGAGGCACGAAAGCGUGGGGAGCAAACAGGAUUAGAUACCCUGGUAGUCCACNCCGUAAACGAUGAGUACUAAGUGUCGGGUAAAACCGGUACUGAAGUUAACACAUUAAGUACUCCGCCUGAGUAGUACGUACGCAAGUAUGAAACUUAAAGGAAUUGACGGGACUCCGCACAAGCGGUGGAUCAUGUUGUUUAAUUCGAAGAUACACGAAAAACCUUACCAGGUCUUGACAUUUUCUUGCGAAGUUAUAGAAAUAUAAUGGAGGUUAUCAGGAAAACAGGUGGUGCAUGGUUGUCGUCAGCUCGUGUCGUGAGAUGUUAGGUUAAGUCCUAAAACGAGCGCAACCCUUGUCGUUAAUUGCCAGCAUGUAAUGAUGGGGACUUUAACGAGACUGCCAAUGAAAAAUUGGAGGAAGGUGGGGAUUACGUCAAAUCAUCAUGCCCCUUAUGAUCUGGGCUACAAACGUGAUACAAUGGUUGAUACAAAGAGUAGCUGAAACGCGAGUUCUUAGCCAAUCUCACAAAAUCAAUCUCAGUUCGGAUUGAAGUC